AGCCUAAAUAUUCCCUGGUGACCGAUAGCGGAUAGUACCGUGAGGGAAUGGUGAAAAGUACCGCGGGAGCGGAGUGAAAUAGUACCUGAAACCGUGUGCCUACAAGCCGUGGGAGCGUCGGGAUCUUUGGAUCCUCGUGACUGCGUGCCUUUUGAAGAAUGAGCCUGCGAGUUAGCGGUGUGUAGCGAGGUUAACCCGUGUGGGGAAGCCGUAGCGAAAGCGAGUCCGAAUAGGGCGAUUGAGUUGCACGCUCUA
RNAcentral lists this ribosomal RNA (255 nucleotides) under Streptomyces sp. WAC07149. Its description in RNAcentral is "partial 23S ribosomal RNA". It matches the Rfam family "Bacterial large subunit ribosomal RNA", at positions 463 to 711 of the family's 2925-position model. Lineage: Bacteria; Bacillati; Actinomycetota; Actinomycetes; Kitasatosporales; Streptomycetaceae. The record is from RNAcentral.